UUAUCGCAGCAGACACCUAG
Molecule: unclassified non-coding RNA, 20 nt
Filed under: Mus musculus (house mouse)
Lineage: Eukaryota; Metazoa; Chordata; Mammalia; Rodentia; Muridae
Description: oocyte_clustered_small_RNA10174
Source: RNAcentral